UGGUAAAGCCUUCAGAUGUUGCAAUUCCCUUCGAUAUCAUGAAAGGACUCACACUGGAGAGAAACCCUAUGAAUGUAAGCAGUGUGGGAAAGCCUUCAGAUCUGCCUCACACCUUCGAAUGCAUGGUAGGACUCACACUGGAGAGAAACCCUAUGAGUGUAAGCAAUGUGGCAAAGCCUUCAGUUGUGCCUCAAACCUUCGAAAGCAUGGUAGGACUCACACUGGAGAGAAACCCUAUGAGUGUAAGCAAUGUGGGAAAGCCUUCAGAUCUGCCUCAAACCUUCAGAUGCAUGAAAGAACUCACACUGGAGAGAAACCCUAUGAAUGUAAGGAAUGUGAAAAAGCAUUCUGUAAAUUCUCUUCUUUUCAAAAACAUGAAAGGAAGCACAGAGGAGAAAAGCCCUAUGAAUGUAAGCAUUGUGGGAAUGGAUUCACGUCUGCCAAGAUCCUUCAAGUACAUGCAAGAACACACAUUGGAGAGAAACACUAUGAAUGUAAGGAAUGCGGAAAAGCAUUCAAUUAUUUUUCUUCCUUGCAUAUACAUGCAAGGACUCAUAUGGGAGAGAAGCCAUAUGAAUGUAAGGGUUGUGGGAAAGCAUUCAGCUAGCCUGGUUCCUUCUAUGGACGUGAAUAGACUCACACUGGAAGGAAAUGCUAUGAAUGCAAGCAAUGUGGCAAAACUUUCACAUGUUCCAGUUCUUUUCGAUACCAUGAAAUGAUUCACACUGGGGAGAAACCCUAUCAAUGUAAGCAAUGUGGGAAAGCCUUCAUUUCUUUUACUUCUUUUCAACAUCAUGAAAGGACUCACAUGGGAGAGAAACCCUAUGAGUGUAUAUGAUGUGGGAAAGCAUUUCUUCUAGUUCCCUUCAAUAUCGGGAAAGGACUUACACUGGAGUGAAGCCCUAUGAAUGUAAGCAAUGUGGGAAAGCCUUCAGAUCAGCCUCACACCUUCAACAGCAUGGAAAGAUUCACACUUGGGAGAAACCCUAUGAAUGUAAGCAGUGUGGGAAAGCCUUCAGAUCUGCCAAGAUUCUUUGAAUACAGAUUAAUGAAUGUAAACAAUUAACUUUAUCAUAACUGUAUACUAACAUGUUAUUUUUAAAUAAUUAAGAAGCUAUAAUAAAAUAUCCUAUUGGUUUUAUGUAUUAGA
RNA transcript from Piliocolobus tephrosceles (Ugandan red Colobus), 1150 nucleotides. It is a transcript of the gene named zinc finger protein 440-like, with no coding region annotated. Lineage: Eukaryota; Metazoa; Chordata; Mammalia; Primates; Cercopithecidae. The record is from RefSeq and is a predicted model, not a curated record. The transcript has a single exon.